This 450-nucleotide ribosomal RNA is filed under the name uncultured bacterium. RNAcentral's name for it is "partial 16S ribosomal RNA". It matches the Rfam family "Bacterial small subunit ribosomal RNA", at positions 354 to 796 of the family's 1533-position model. The record is from RNAcentral.
GUGGGGAAUAUUGGACAAUGGGCGAAAGCCUGAUCCAGCCAUGCCGCGUGUGUGAAGAAGGUCUUCGGAUUGUAAAGCACUUUAAGUUGGGAGGAAGGGCAGUAAGUUAAUACCUUGCUGUUUUGACGUUACCGACAGAAUAAGCACCGGCUAACUUCGUGCCAGCAGCCGCGGUAAUACGAAGGGUGCAAGCGUUAAUCGGAAUUACUGGGCGUAAAGCGCGCGUAGGUGGUUUUGUAAGUUGGAGGUGAAAUCCCCGGGCUCAACCUGGGAACUGACUCCAAAACUGCAUGACUAGAGUACGGUAGAGGGUAGUGGAAUUUCCUGUGUAGCGGUGAAAUGCGUAGAUAUAGGAAGGAACACCAGUGGCGAAGGCGACUACCUGGACUGAUACUGACACUGAGGUGCGAAAGCGUGGGGAGCAAACAGGAUUAGAAACCCUGGUAGUCC